Molecule: ribosomal RNA, 558 nt
Filed under: uncultured Glomus
Lineage: Eukaryota; Fungi; Glomeromycota; Glomeromycetes; Glomerales; Glomeraceae
Description: eukaryotic LSU rRNA
Rfam family: 5.8S ribosomal RNA (bases 156-309)
Source: RNAcentral
GGAAGUAAAAGUCGUAACAAGGUUUCCGUAGGUGAACCUGCGGAAGGAUCAUUACUGAUUUAGCGAACCGAGCGUUAGCGAGGUUUUGCGAUCAACUUGUAUUUAAAACCCACUCUUCAAUGUAUAAAAUUUGUAUUAAUGAUAAAUUAAAAGAUCACUUUCAACAACGGAUCUCUUGGCUCUCGCAUCGAUGAAGAACGUAGCGAAGUGCGAUAAGUAAUGUGAAUUGCAGUAUUCCGUGAAUCAUCGAAUCUUUGAACGCAUAUUGCACUUUCUGGUAUUCCGGAAAGUAUGCCUGUUUGAGGGUCAGUUAAAUAAAAAUCGGUGUUGUUGCUGCCUUUCGUGGUGACGCGUCGGAAUUGAGUCGUCUUACCUUCGGUUAAGUGACUUAAAAUUUUGUAUGAUUUUUGAACGUAUUUAAAUUUAUUUGUACGUUUGAGAUAUCGAAUGUUUAUUAGGUUCGGUCAUUCUCAUGACUCGCGCCUAUAGUUUUUCAUUAAAUGACCUCAAAUCAGGUAAGAAUACCCGCUGAACUUAAGCAUAUCAAUAAGCGGAGGA